This 75-nucleotide transfer RNA is filed under the name Cordylochernes scorpioides. Its description in RNAcentral is "tRNA-Thr". Lineage: Eukaryota; Metazoa; Arthropoda; Arachnida; Pseudoscorpiones; Chernetidae. The record is from RNAcentral.
UGUCAAGGGAUGGGAAUCGAACCCACGACCUUCCGCUUACCGGGCAGUUGCCAUGACCACUAGGCUACCCUGGGC